RNAcentral lists this ribosomal RNA (925 nucleotides) under Microbacterium profundi. RNAcentral's name for it is "bacterial SSU rRNA". It matches the Rfam family "Bacterial small subunit ribosomal RNA", at positions 57 to 993 of the family's 1533-position model. Lineage: Bacteria; Bacillati; Actinomycetota; Actinomycetes; Micrococcales; Microbacteriaceae. The record is from RNAcentral.
GCAGUCGAACGGUGAAGCCCCGCUUGCGGGGUGGAUCAGUGGCGAACGGGUGAGUAACACGUGAGCAACCUGCCCCUGACUCUGGGAUAAGCGCUGGAAACGGCGUCUAAUACUGGAUACGAGACGUGAUCGCAUGGUCAACGUUUGGAAAGAUUUUUCGGUUGGGGAUGGGCUCGCGGCCUAUCAGCUUGUUGGUGAGGUAAUGGCUCACCAAGGCGUCGACGGGUAGCCGGCCUGAGAGGGUGACCGGCCACACUGGGACUGAGACACGGCCCAGACUCCUACGGGAGGCAGCAGUGGGGAAUAUUGCACAAUGGGCGCAAGCCUGAUGCAGCAACGCCGCGUGAGGGAUGACGGCCUUCGGGUUGUAAACCUCUUUUAGCAGGGAAGAAGCGAGAGUGACGGUACCUGCAGAAAAAGCACCGGCUAACUACGUGCCAGCAGCCGCGGUAAUACGUAGGGUGCAAGCGUUAUCCGGAAUUAUUGGGCGUAAAGAGCUCGUAGGCGGUUUGUCGCGUCUGCUGUGAAAUCUGGGGGCUCAACCCCCAGCCUGCAGUGGGUACGGGCAGACUAGAGUGCGGUAGGGGAGAUUGGAAUUCCUGGUGUAGCGGUGGAAUGCGCAGAUAUCAGGAGGAACACCGAUGGCGAAGGCAGAUCUCUGGGCCGUAACUGACGCUGAGGAGCGAAAGGGUGGGGAGCAAACAGGCUUAGAUACCCUGGUAGUCCACCCCGUAAACGUUGGGAACUAGUUGUGGGGUCCAUUCCACGGAUUCCGUGACGCAGCUAACGCAUUAAGUUCCCCGCCUGGGGAGUACGGCCGCAAGGCUAAAACUCAAAGGAAUUGACGGGGACCCGCACAAGCGGCGGAGCAUGCGGAUUAAUUCGAUGCAACGCGAAGAACCUUACCAAGGCUUGACAUAUACGA